GCCCGGGUGGCGGAAUUGGUAGACGCGCCAGACUAAGGAUCUGGUGGGAUAAUACCCAUGCUGGUUCAAUUCCAGUCCCGGGCACCA
This 87-nucleotide transfer RNA is filed under the name bacterium. RNAcentral describes it as "tRNA-Leu". It matches the Rfam family "tRNA". From Rfam's summary of the family: Transfer RNA (tRNA) molecules are approximately 80 nucleotides in length. Their secondary structure includes four short double-helical elements and three loops (D, anti-codon, and T loops). RNAcentral also lists the same sequence under 1 other name. The record is from RNAcentral.